GGGGAUGUAGGCUAACCGGCAAACCAUCGGUCUCCAAAAUCGAGAUUCUCGGUUCAAAUCCGAGCGUCCCUGCCA
This 75-nucleotide transfer RNA is filed under the name Acidobacteriota bacterium. Its description in RNAcentral is "tRNA-Trp". It matches the Rfam family "tRNA". From Rfam's summary of the family: Transfer RNA (tRNA) molecules are approximately 80 nucleotides in length. Their secondary structure includes four short double-helical elements and three loops (D, anti-codon, and T loops). The record is from RNAcentral. Lineage: Bacteria; Pseudomonadati; Acidobacteriota.